This 253-nucleotide ribosomal RNA is filed under the name uncultured bacterium. RNAcentral describes it as "partial 16S ribosomal RNA". It matches the Rfam family "Bacterial small subunit ribosomal RNA", at positions 524 to 776 of the family's 1533-position model. The record is from RNAcentral.
UACGUAGGCAGCGAGCGUUGUUCGGAAUUACUGGGCGUAAAGAGUGUGUAGGCGGUGCUCUAAGUUCGGUGUGAAAUCUCCCGGCUUAACUGGGAGGGUGCGCCGGAAACUGGAGUGCUCGAACGUGGGAGAGGAAAGCGGAAUUCCUGGUGUAGCGGUGAAAUGCGUAGAUAUCAGGAGGAACACCUGCGGUGUAGGCGGCUUUCUGGACCAUUGUUGACGCUGAGACACGAAAGCGUGGGUAGCAAACAGG